GAUCCUGGCUCAGGAUGAACGCCAGCUACAGGCUUAACACAUGCAAGUCGAGGGGAAACGACAUCGAAAGCUUGCUUUUGAUGGGCGUCGACCGGCGCACGGGUGAGUAACGCGUAGGUAACCUGCCUGGUAGCGGGGGAUAACUAUUGGAAACGAUAGCUAAUACCGCAUAACAGUAGAUAUUGCAUGAUAUCUACUUGAAAGGUGCAAAUGCACCACUACCAGAUGG
Molecule: ribosomal RNA, 229 nt
Filed under: uncultured bacterium
Lineage: Bacteria
Description: partial 16S ribosomal RNA
Rfam family: Bacterial small subunit ribosomal RNA
Source: RNAcentral